CCUACGGGAGGCAGCAGUGAGGAAUAUUGGUCAAUGGACGAGAGUCUGAACCAGCCAAGUAGCGUGAAGGAUGACUGCCCUAUGGGUUGUAAACUUCUUUUAUACAGGAAUAAAACGAGGCACGUGUGCCUUUUUGCAUGUACUUUAUGAAUAAGGAUCGGCUAACUCCGUGCCAGCAGCCGCGGUAAUACGGAGGAUCCGAGCGUUAUCCGGAUUUAUUGGGUUUAAAGGGAGCGUAGAUGGGUUGUUAAGUCAGUUGUGAAAGUUUGCGGCUCAACCGUAAAAUUGCAAUUGAUACUGGCAGUCGUGAGUACAGUUGAGGUAGGCGGAAUUCGUGGUGUAGCGGUGAAAUGCUUAGAUAUCACGAAGAACCCCGAUUGCGAAGGCAGCUUACUAAACUGUGACUGACAUUGAUGCUCGAAAGUGUGGGUAUCAAACAGGAUUAGAUACCCCAGUAGUC
Molecule: ribosomal RNA, 460 nt
Filed under: uncultured bacterium
Lineage: Bacteria
Description: partial 16S ribosomal RNA
Rfam family: Bacterial small subunit ribosomal RNA
Source: RNAcentral